GAUGAAGAACGUAGCGAAAUGCGAUAAGUAAUGUGAAUUGCAGAAUUCAGUGAAUCAUCGAAUCUUUGAACGCACAUUGCGCCCGCCAGUAUUCUGGCGGGCAUGCCUGUUCGAGCGUCAUUACAACCCUCAGGCCCCCGGGCCUGGCGUUGGGGAUCGGCGGAGCCCCCCGUGGGCACACGCCGUCCCCCAAAUGCAGUGGCGGUCCCGCCGCAGCUUCCAUCGCGUAGUAGCUAACACCUCGCGACUGGAGAGCGGCGCGGCCACGCCGUAAAACACCCAACUUCUGAAUGUUGACCUCGAAUCAGGUAGGAAUACCCGCUGAACUUAAGCAUAUCAAUAAGCGGAGGA
RNAcentral lists this unclassified non-coding RNA (351 nucleotides) under soil metagenome. RNAcentral's name for it is "partial contains 5.8S ribosomal RNA, internal transcribed spacer 2, and large subunit ribosomal RNA". The stretch from base 1 to 120 matches the Rfam family "5.8S ribosomal RNA", at positions 35 to 154 of the family's 154-position model. The record is from RNAcentral.